UUACCAGGGCUUGACAUACACUGGAAUGGGCGUGAAAGCGUCCAGCCCCUCGGGGCCGGUGUACAGGUGCGUGCAUGGCUGUCGUCAGCUCGUGCUGUGAAGUGUUGGGUUAAGUCCCGCAACGAGCGCAACCCCUGCUAUCUGUUGCCAGCAAGUAAUGUUGGGGACUCAGAUGGAACUGCCGGUGGACAAACCGGAGGAAGUGGGGACGACGUCAAGUCAUCAUGGCCCUUAUGUCCUGGGCUACACACGUGCUACAAUGGCCGGUACAGAGCGCAGCGAAGCCGCGAGGCAAAGCGAAUCGCAAAAAGCCGGUCUCAGUACGGAUUGGAGUCUGAAACUCGACUCCAUGAAGUUGGAAUCGCUAGUAAUCGCGCAUCAGCAUGGCGCGGUGAAUACGUUCCCGGGCCUU
RNAcentral lists this ribosomal RNA (412 nucleotides) under uncultured Spirochaeta sp. RNAcentral describes it as "bacterial SSU rRNA". It matches the Rfam family "Bacterial small subunit ribosomal RNA", at positions 971 to 1382 of the family's 1533-position model. The record is from RNAcentral. Lineage: Bacteria; Pseudomonadati; Spirochaetota; Spirochaetia; Spirochaetales; Spirochaetaceae.